Molecule: long non-coding RNA, 1140 nt
Organism: Anthonomus grandis grandis
Lineage: Eukaryota; Metazoa; Arthropoda; Insecta; Coleoptera; Curculionidae
Exons: 3
Source: RefSeq, a predicted model, not a curated record
CGAUCGGCGGCCAUUUUUUGGAGCCAGACUAAAAAACUGUUUUAAAACGAUAAUUUGUGGAUAGAAGUAUGGUGUUUUGUUGUGCUUUUGGCUGUAAAAGCCAAAAUGACCCAAAGAAUCUGGAAUCACCUUUUACAGGUUUCCAAAUUCCAAACAAUGAGAAUUUCAGAUUGGACACCUUCACCUAAUGAUUUGUUCAAGACAUUUUGAAAAGUCACUUUUUUAUAAAUGACGCUGUGCCAACACUAUUUCCAGACCUACCAGUCCAUAAAAAUGAGACAAAAAGAAGAGCAACGAAGAUGUGAACUCACAUUGAUGAUGAUCUAUCCUUACUAGAACUCCUUCUAAUGAAGAUACUUAAAAAAAACUCAGAAAGUAGCUAUUCAAACAGGUUAUAAAAAGUAAUCAGAAAUUAAAAUAAACAAGAAAUUUAAAAAAAUCAAAGUUUUAGGACAAAAAUUAAAAGAUAAGAAAAAAAUUGUUUCUUUAAAAAACAUUAUACAUGAAUUUUUACAGUCAAGAAAUUUAGUUUCUUUUGAAAAUGUAUUAAUAUUAGACAGAGUGGCAAAAAUUGCAAAAAAGAAGUACUAAAACGUCAAUCUGGGAAAAAAUAUUCCCUAGAUUUACGAAAAUUUGCCUUAAUAUUAAGUUUUUUUUCUUCAAAAGUUAAUGAUUUUUGAAGACAAAUAUUUGAUACUUGUUUACCACAUCAAAGCACGAUUCAAAAUGCCCAACUUGAUUUUCAAGAUUUGAAGCCAUAUUCUUAACAUGCUGAUAAAAAUAUUACAAGAUAUACGAAUCAUGGCAGGUUCUUCUCGUUUUAACAACCCUGAUUUACAUAUGAAUUUCAGUAAAGCCCCUCCUACUAAAAUAAUAGAAGAUGUAAGCCCUUUACAUCAAGUUUGGCAUGAUCAUUCAUAUAUAAUGAAUACUCAUAUAAUAAGCAAUUUCAUACCAAAUUAUUAUUUUAUAUCCCAUUACUUGCAGAAAGUUUCAACCUGUGAACAAUGUAAUAAGUCAUUAAUUGAAAAAAAAAGAACAUUUUUUGAACUCUCUAAUUAAUCAAAAAAGACAUGGUGGGUUAACAUAUCCCUCUAAAGAUGCUAUUAUCAUAUACAAAAUUGUAGAGCAUUUUUUAAG